RNAcentral lists this ribosomal RNA (448 nucleotides) under uncultured bacterium. RNAcentral's name for it is "bacterial SSU rRNA". It matches the Rfam family "Bacterial small subunit ribosomal RNA", at positions 28 to 490 of the family's 1533-position model. The record is from RNAcentral.
GAUGAACGCUGGCGGCGUGCUUAACACAUGCAAGUCGAACGAUGAAAGCGGGAGCUUGCUCCUGCUGGAUUAGUGGCGAACGGGUGAGUAACACGUGAGUAACCUGCCCUUGACUCUGGGAUAAGCGUUGGAAACGACGUCUAAUACCGGAUACGACCUUCGGAGGCAUCUCCUGGGGGUGGAAAGAAUUUCGGUCAAGGAUGGACUCGCGGCCUAUCAGCUAGUUGGUGAGGUAAUGGCUCACCAAGGCGACGACGGGUAGCCGGCCUGAGAGGGUGACCGGCCACACUGGGACUGAGACACGGCCCAGACUCCUACGGGAGGCAGCAGUGGGGAAUAUUGCACAAUGGGCGCAAGCCUGAUGCAGCAACGCCGCGUGAGGGACGACGGCCUCGGUUGUAACCUCUUUAGUAGGUAAGAAGCGAAAGUGACGGUACCUGCAGAAAAG